RNA transcript from Felis catus (domestic cat), 2384 nucleotides. It is a transcript of the gene named coiled-coil domain containing 78, with no coding region annotated. The record is from RefSeq and is a predicted model, not a curated record. The transcript is spliced from 12 exons. Lineage: Eukaryota; Metazoa; Chordata; Mammalia; Carnivora; Felidae.
GGGGCGCUGCAGUGCGUCCUCCGCGAAGCCUUCCCGGCUCGGGAGCUGAGCCAGUCCUCUUGAGACCCCCAGCCCUUAACUGGAAUGUCUGCGUCCCCUUCCCUCGGGCUGGUGGUGGGAGAAUCUGCAGUUUGUUCGCCUGCCCCUCCCAGCGUCCGACCAGAAACAGCAGGCACACAGGGGGCGCCUGCUGAGUGUGUGAACCCCCACGGUAAAGCAGGGCACUCUGCGAGAGAAAAACGGUAACAGCAGUGGUCACUCUGUCUCACACCUUCCCAGGCUGGGCGCUCUCAUGCACUCCUGGUUCCAUCUGCGCCCAGGAUAAAUGCAGCGGUGCUGGUCUGCAUUUCGGAGAGGAGAAAACGGAAACCAAAAAGGAUGGACCAUGGAAUGAGCUGAGAGAGGCCCCCUCCCCAUCUCCUCAGCCACCACCGAACUUCCCCUUCCCGACUGCCCUCGUGGGUGGGGCCCUCAGAGACCGGGGACGAGUAGGAGACCAACAGAGGACUUAGCAACGCCCCAAGCCUCUGUGUUGCAGCAACAGGCCAGUAGGCAAGGUGGCACUGCACUUGGGCCAGACUUCCUUUUGCUUAUGGAGCAUGCGGCAGCCCCAGGCCACAGGCCGGAGCCCCCACCCUGGGCCACUGAGAAUGUUCUGCGGCAGGCCGAGGACUGGACAACCAGCCUCAAGACAGAGCUUCCCUCAGAUCUACAACUGAGUGAGGAGCAGCGGCUGCAGAUCUCCAAGGAGUUGGUUUACCUGCAGAUCACAACGCAUCACUUGCGGGAGCAACACGAGGCUGAACUCUUCGAGCUGAAGAGUGAGGUCCUGCGGCUGGAGAGCCGGGUGCUGGAGCUGGAGCUGCACGGAGAUUGUGCAGCCCCGGCAGAGGCUGACCUGGGGCGCCGCCAGAAGCUGGCACAGGGGCUUGGGCACAAGGCCCAGGAGCAGGUACACUCCAUCCACCACAGACCCCAGGUCACCCUAAGUGCAUGGAGGGCCUGCCUGGGUGGAUUGGGCGGCGGGGAGCCAAACAGGGGUGCACAGGGGCGCAGUGAGGUUGGGACCGGCUCUCCUGUACAGGCACAGCCUGAGGACUUCUUGACCCCUAAGACCGAACAACAGAAGCUGGGGAACAGUGUGAGUGUGCAGCUCCCUAGCCUGGGAAUUAGUGCAGAUCUGUCCCUGCCCAGGGUGCGGCUGGGCAAGGCCAGGGACCCAGAGCUUGGGGUCUCAUUCAGCCAGCCCUUGUGUACCCGGCAGCUACAGGGAGAAUGGCAGCGAGUGCUGGAGCAGCACAGGGCCCAGAAGCAGGCACUGGAGACCCGCGUGGCAGAUCUGGGUCGGCGGCUGCAGGGAGCCCGAGAGGAGGCCAGGAUAGCUGGGCAGCGACUGGCCACACAAGCCAUGGUAUUGUCUGCCUGCCAGGGCCAGCUCCGCCAGGCUGAGGCGGAGAACGCCCAGCUGCAGCUGCAGCUCAAGAGGCUGAACCAAGAGUAUGCCAUCCAGCUGCAGCGAUGUGCCCAAGCCGUGGCCGAGUCUGCAAAGCGCACCGGCCAGGUGCCCGAAGCCGCAGCCCUUAGGACGUUCCUGGAGACCACUCUGGAGGACAUCCGGGCAGCACACCGCAGCCGUGAACAGCAGUUGGCCCGGGCUGCUCGCGCCUACCGCAAGCGCCUGGCAGAUCUGAGCCGUAGACAUGAGGAGCUGCUGGCCAACCACAGUGUGCAGCAGGUGCCGGCAGACCCCAGUGGGGCACCCUGGACCCCCAAGGCUACCUUUGAUGCAGCCACCUCAGACCUGGAGCCACUGCCUCUGCACCUGGUCACCAAACUCAGUCACCUACCAGAGAACCAGGCCAGGCUGGAGACGAAGUUUUGGAAGCUCCAGGCCCAGCCUUUCCAGUCCAAUGGGCUCAUGACGCUGCUCUUGUUCCUACAGAAGGGACCCAGUGGAGCCUCCCAGGGGAGCACAUCAGAGCCACAGGGCCAGGAACCUGCCUCCUGGGCCCAGAUCCACCAGAAGCUCCAGGACUUCUCCCGUGGCACCCAGAGCUGGAACGUGAGCGGGCAAAGCUACUAGUCCGGGCCACAAUGGCUGAGGAGCAACUUUCUGAGCUACAGGACUAUGUGGACCAGCACUUAGGCAGGUACAAACAAGAGAUCCUGAGGCUGAGGAAGCUAAUGGGUACAGAGGAUGCCUGCAAAGUGGGGGCCACCCCUCCAGUCAAGCCCCAGCACUCCAAGACCCGCAGCCGCUAGCCAGCUGUCAAAUGCACUCAGCAGAACUCUUCGCAGCCGGCAUGGAACCCUCCUCACAGCACCCCCUUGCGGGCAGGGGUCAUGCCACCCAAUCCUCCACCUAACAAGAGUCAGUACGUGUA